UGCAGGCCGCGCCCAUUGCCUCCCCAGAGACUCGGCCGCGGCUCCCGGGAAACGCGCCCUGAACAUGCGCCAUUCAUCUUUAGAGCAGAGCUGCACACCCUCGGCGCGCGGUGGGCGCAGCCGGCCGCGCGGCUCGGGGGGAGGGGUUUCAGGGGGCUGUCUUGCCCCUCGCCGCUAGUUCUCCUGUUUUCCUUUCCAGCCUGAGCGCGGACAGACACUCGAAGUCCCGCCCUCCCGUGUCUCGCCGGCCGUCUUCUUUCCCCGGCCCUGAAACCCCACUUGCCCGGGGCGCUUUGCUAGGCCUCUGACCCCGGGCCUCGGCGCUGGCCCAGGCCAGACUGGCCGCGUGAGGGGCCGCCUGUCCCCCAGUUUGGGGAAGCUUGGGGCUGCGGGAGGAGUCUCCCGGCCUUGCGGGCCGCCCACACAGCCCCUGCUAAGAUCCCUGGAGGCCAGGUUACCCAGACCAUCUCCCCUCGCGGGCACACCCCGACACACAGCUGCCACCCUGUGCCUCUGUCAAGAUCCGUCUGCCGGAACCCGGUGCUUUCUGGGCCAUCUUUGUCCCCUAGUUAAGGCAGCAAUAACUCUCCCGCGUGCUUUCCGAAAAGGCCCAGGCUUGAGCUGAGUCCCCGGAUCUCUCUCUGAGAGCGGGACAGACCUAGUGUCAGAAUUUCAGGCACCACCAAGCUAAACGUGCCUGCAUAGACUCGGCUUCCUGAGCCCACUUCCUCGAGGGACCACCGGUUCUAAAUACGCCCGCGGGCAGGAACUGCCGGAAACCAAGCGCUUCCCCACGGACAAGGCAGCGCCUCGAUUUUGGUCAGAUGCCCCCACGGGCCUGCUAAAUUCCAAGGGAGCCGGGUGCGCGGCCCCGAGGACGAUCAGCCCCCAAUCCUAGAGGUCCUCGGCGCUCCUUGUUGCCCAGGGAUGCUGUCGGCAUUCCUGCUGAACCGCUCUUCCGAUCUGCCCAACCCAGCCUGGGGACCAGCCAGCCUGCGGAGGUUGGUCCGGUGGUCACCCAUCUUCUUGAUGAGUUUCACUUCCUCAUCUAGGAAGUGGUUCUCCAGGAAGUCACAGAUGUGGGGGUCUCCUCGGGCAGAAGCAGGCCACGCAGAUCCAACAGGGCUUGAUUCAGGUUCUUCUCUACGAGAAGGGCGGCCUCCAUGGCCUCCUGGGUUUUACCCCCCUCAUCUUGAGAGGGCUUCUGCACGUCCAGCAAGAGGGCGCGGCCGCCACGCUGGUUUUGCAGUUUCAAGAGACGCUCCUCGCCCUCGCGCUUCUCCUUGGCCCGUUCGCGAAAAAAGUGACCCACGCCCUCCAGGGCCACGUCGUCGGCAGGAGCCCAGAGAGAGGCAGGUGUAGGCGGCCCGCCGCUGCAUGUUAGCCAGGCGGCUGACGGCCUCCACCUCUGUAGAAUGAUUCUGACGAAUCUGGGAGCUCAUGAUUGGUCAGCUAUAAGGAGUUAAAAAGUGGUGGCUGGUCCCGGUGAUCACGGACAGCUGAGUGGCUGACUCUGGAGGCUGCGACUGGAAAAAAUGUUGGAGGGUUGUUGGAGGCUGGAGCAAGGAGAGUCCCUGGGUCUGUUCUGUCCAAGCACUGUUGAAGCAAGAGACAGUUCCACGGGGCCGCCGAGCGCACUUCUCUCGGUCACUUCUUGCCCAAGCCUCGCCAUCCCCGCGUCCACGCUGGACUGCCUGCUGCCCGCUGCUCAGAGUGACAGGGACCAUGGCGCUCCCCGUGCUGGGACGCGGAGGACGCCGCCCACAGCCUGCAGCGUCCAGGCUGGACCCUCAGCGGGUGUCUCAUGCGUGGGCACCAGUGUGGGCUCCGGUGGGUCUCCCCCACCCUGCUCUGCGGGGUGCCCUCCCCGUGGGCUUGCCCCGGCCUGUCUGCCAGGGCGCCGGGCUGGCCCCCGCCUUCAGGGGGUGUGGGGUGUGCGCUCCCUGCAGGAUGCCCCUGUCUGAGCCCUGCGCCGUCUGCCCCUCCCCUCCGGCCCCUCUUCCGUCCGCCGGCGUCCACGCUGGCACAGGCGCUUUCUUUGGGUAGCUGUUUCUGGUUUGUUUUUCGCGGUGUCUCUCUCCCUCCUUCCUGACCUGGCCUCGUCUGGCCAACCCCGCCCUCCACUUCUCGCAGAGCUGAGCACAGGUGCUGGCACUCAGGGUGGGGGGCUAGACGGCUUGGGCCCCACCCGCAGCUGGGGUGGGGGGUUCUACCGCCGAAGUAGGGGCUGCGGUCCCUGGAGGCAGGCGGACCAGGAGCCCAGCAUCGGCCUGGCCCGUCAGAGGCCUCCGGGUGGAGGGCGGACGGUGCGGACGCCGGGGCUCCCGGGGCUGGGGAGGGGAGGGGGCUCCCUCCCCGGCUCCCAUCCCUGCCUCGGCCCUGCCUGCGGCCGGACCAGGGCCACUGCCUGAGGGGCUGGCCACCAGGCCCCAGAGCCUGGGAAGGCUCCCGAGAAGCUUUGUUGUCAGCAGAGAAAGCGGCAGGGUUUGUACUGUGAGAAUCAAUUGCAGGGGAGGAAAAAACAGGGAAAUUUCUUUUAAAUUCCUCAAAUCUCCUGGGUUGUGUUGUACAAUGAAAUGAAUACAUGAACCGCACAGAAAAAUAUAUCUUUCUAUUUCUCAGAAUUGUUGUUUACUAAGAAUAAGGCUCUAAUCAACUGGGAGUUUAGAACUUCAAUAGGGCAGCUGAACUAAGGCUGAAGACAUUUUUUAAAAUUUUAAAGUCUUGCAGCUGAGAGUCAAAGAAGUUAAAACUUGGCAGCAUUAUCGUCUAAGCGGCUGUGUUGUCCUGGGCUCCACAUUCAUGGCGUGAGCCACGUUGGAGACGUCAUUGCUUUAUUCCAUAAUGUUUGUGUUAUCCAAUAAGUAAAUCUGUCUUUUAUAUAGAAUGCUUCUCUGGUUUAUUAAAUGAUAAUUACUGAAGAGAAUGACCAAGUUUUGGAAAGGGGCAGAGUUUACACACAGCUUUCCAUUAGCAUGAAAGCCUAAAAACAGCUAAUUUUAGAUUCUGCGCGUCUCCUGUGGGCUUGGGGUGAUGUAACAGGAUUAUGAGAGCAUGUGUGUCUCCGUGAACACCGUGACAGGUCCCAUCUCAGCUCUAGUCUGUGGAACACUGGCUGAUCUGGGGAUGGGGGGGUGGGGAGUGGGUUUGCAGAAAGAAGCAGAACAGCAAGCAUUUUUCUGCUCUUCUGGUGGGCUCCAGAGCAGACUGAGGGUACGGGGUGAGUCCUGGGAUGGCUCUGAGCUCUGGUAGGAAAGGUUAAAUAUUCAUUUUCUCAACUGUUGGAAUAAUCCUUUGUAUAGACUCUAUAAGACUUUGGAAAAGAAAUCUUCGAAGGGCUUUCAAAAAUUUAUGAGAAACUGACUUUUCAGUUUUGGCCAAUCUACUGGAUGGUCAAGUUGCAGGAGAUAAAAGGCUCAAUAGACGCUAAAUAUCUGUAUUCUGAGGACAUACCACUUGUACAUAAAUAUUUGAUCAUUUCUAGAGUAACUAAUGUUAGAAAAAGCAAUCCUGACUUGACGCAGCUCAGAAACGACUGCUCUUAAGGACCGACCACCUCUGAGUCUGAAAACCGUCCCCUGCACCUCUUACCUCUGGCACAGUCCAAGCAGAAAAGGACAUUCGCUGGCCCGGGAAGUUAUAGUGGAGGCAGGCUCUGAAGACAUGAGUUUCAUCAAAACUCAGGGCCCGGAGGAGGGGGUGAUGACACAGGCUCUGUCCUUCCGCACCGCUGAGACGAGCCCCACGAGCCUUGGUUGCCCCAGCAACUUGGUGACCAUCCUGCUUGUCUGGAGGUUGAGGGAAGAAAGGCUAGCUCUCUUCAAAGUUUCUUAAAGAAGUGAAGCCAGAGGCUGCAAGCGCCGUGAACAGGGGCUUAUGGCCACCGUCUUGCUUUGCCCCAGGGUUAGUGGCUAGAAGCUGAGGCAGGCCUGCCCCAGCCUUGCAGUUCUGGCCCGGAACCAUUCCCGAGAUGGCUCCCGGACUCACAGGUCUGGAGCCCGGUGGGCAGCGGUGCCCUCCCCUCCCCACACGCUCCCAGGCACUCACCCCGUGGCCUCCAGUGGGGGAGCCGGACUGUCCACCGAGUGACCAGGGCUCCAAAACAGGGAGACUGGAGGCCCGCAUUGCCUCCGAGGUCUGCGUCUGGAAACCACGACCAUGUCUGCCAAACCGUCACAUGAGGCAGUCACAAGCCAGGUCCGCUUUAAGGAGUGGAGACAGAGGCCCCGCUCCCUACGGCAGGGGGAGUGAUGCCUUUACGUCCGUCUUGAAAGGGCCUCCGCGUUCUCUCUGGCCAUUAACUGGUUCCACUUCUCCUUCCCACCCAAGGUGCCUGGAGGGUUAAUCGCAUUACAACACCAGGGUUUAAGCUCAAAUUCCAGGAUCUCCUAAAUUAAACUAGAUCCACGGAUAAGGGUCUUUGGACAGGAUUUCAUCAGAAGUGUUUCUUUUGAUCUUAAAAACUCCAAGCUAAGAAGACAAAUUAUCUUUCCCCCUUACUGGGCUCAAGCAGACACUCCGGAGGGUUUUGAGGCGGGGGGGGGGGGGGGGGUGGGGGGGGGGGGAGGGUGGUGAGAUGCUUUCCCCGUCCUGAGUCCUUUGCUGCUUACCCCAGGUCCAGACAUGGGGCCACGGCCGGCGGGAUGGAGUGGCGGGCAGGGGGGGGGGGAACCUGGGGCCGGGGCCCCCGGGGGGGCGAUUUAUACGCCACUCUCUGGGUGCU
RNAcentral lists this long non-coding RNA (4723 nucleotides) under Ovis aries (sheep). Its description in RNAcentral is "lncRNA (ENSOARG00000026996.1)". Lineage: Eukaryota; Metazoa; Chordata; Mammalia; Artiodactyla; Bovidae. The record is from RNAcentral.